CCUUCAUUUGCAGCGUGGUAGAUGCGGAACGAUCCAGCAUGGCGUUUCAUAUACUGUCUAUGGUUUUCACAUGUGAUGCAUUUAUAUCUAAUUAUGGAGUUAACUGCAGAUGAGCCGCCAUGAACAGGCAGCUUUGGCUGAUGUGGAAUUCGGCUCACUUCAUCGUAUCGUCAGGGAGAGCUACCUAGCCCCCAAAAAGCUCCCCCCGUCUGGAGCCAGGCCCAGAGGGAAGGCUCGUCGGCGAGCCCCUGUUAGCCGGGUUUGACACGGAGCCCGCCGGGCACAGCACAAGCGACGUGCUUCCAUCCUAUGGGCCCACCACUCGUGGAUGAACCACUGGGCUCUGGUGAGCUGCCACACUGGUGGCCGUGAAGGCCCAGGGGCCCUCGAAGGACCGGACUAGGGGCGGUAGAGGCUGGGCCUGGGGACGUGCAACGUCUUUCAUCGUAAUGAAAGGAACAUGGUUCUUCUGUCCCACUUGGCAUUGAUGGAAAAUGAGGAGGCCUGGUGAAAAGGUUUUAACAAUCUGCAGAGCAAGACCUUGAAGACCCAUGGGUGCUGAGAAAAGUUCUACAGAUGAAAUCGAUGAUUAAGCAGAUACACCCGUCUGGGAUUGAUUCAGAAGUCUGUCACAGUAUAUGGAAUGCAGUAAUUUGUUUGCAUUAAAAAUAAACACAUUUGAUCUGAAACAUGUUUAAUAAGAUGUAUAAAAACAAGCAUUAUGGCACAAAGUGACAAAUCUUACUAGUUCAAUCUGUGUUGAAGGGAGACUUGUAAGAUUUCUUCUUCAAAUUCUCUAAAAAGAUCUGCUCAUCUCGGAGGUAUUCACGGUCCUGUGUAGAGAAAGUAAUAUUAACAGAAGGUAACAGAAUAAUUACCUUUUCAUAGUUGGCUAAAUUAAUCUGUGUGUGAUUAACAUGUAGUAGUUUGCCUGUUUAGAAAUGUAUUGAGCUGUGAGUCCUCAGAAGACCCAGGACUAGGUGGAGAGAGAUCAUCCCCACACUGGCCUGGGAACGCCCAGUCACAGCAAAGUUAAGGUGUUGAAGAUUAAUUUUAUAUUGACAAAUUUAAAAACUUACAGUAACUGUUCUUUGGAAUUUAAGGAAUCUGAAGUCAAAAUCAAUACAACUCAUGAGCAGUUAACUGUUUGCAGUGGUUUUAUUAUCAAUAGUGUGAUGGAUUCAGCAAAGGUUUUAGAACCACUGGGACAUGAGCUAAAUCUAGGGCUGUCAAACUACUUCAAAAAAAUUUAAGUUCUACAGUUAAUUGCAUGAUUAAAAUCUCAGCAUUUCAGAACUGUUUACAUAACAAUGGAAAACUAUUCUUACGAGUAUCUUCAUCAUGAAUGCAUAGAAAGUGACAACUUUAUUUUAAGAUUUGUAUUUACUGUAAAAAGUGUGAAUCUAGUCACAUUCAAAUCUUGAGUCAAUAUAGUGUGCAGUAACUCAAAUUAUAAUUACUGAUGUCCAGUGAUCACCUUGCAUCACUUUACAGCGGUUCUAUUUUGGCUGCUUUCUUCAUGUUGUACAGGCCACCCAUUUCGCAAGAGUGGUAGUCAUUUUUUUGCAGGUCAGCAACUACCACUCUCCAAAAUAGUGCUUUGCUUGAGCCUGCUAGCAUCAACCUGAGUCACGUUAACUGUAGUACUAUGCUUAGCUUGUAGGUGUUGGCUCAAGCUUGACGUGCUUCGGUGAUAUUUUAAUUUGGCUUUACACGAUGUGCAUGUGGCUUUCAACCCGUCCGGGAGUUUUAGAAAAUAAAAAGGGCCAUUCAUAA
Molecule: long non-coding RNA, 1776 nt
Organism: Perca flavescens (yellow perch)
Lineage: Eukaryota; Metazoa; Chordata; Actinopteri; Perciformes; Percidae
Exons: 5
Source: RefSeq, a predicted model, not a curated record